AGUAUCGCGGACGGAAGAUGGCGUCCGCCACCCGUCUCAUCCAGCGGCUGCGGAACUGGGCGUCCGGGCAUGACCUGCAGGGGAAGCUGCAGCUACGCUACCAGGAGAUCUCCAAGCGAACUCAGCCUCCUCCCAAGCUCCCUGUGGGUCCUAGCCACAAGCUCUCCAACAAUUACUAUUGCACUCGCGAUGGCCGCCGGGAAUCUGUGCCCCCUUCCAUCAUCAUGUCGUCGCAGAAGGCGCUGGUGUCAGGCAAGCCAGCAGAGAGCUCUGCUGUAGCUGCCACUGAGAAGAAGGCGGUGACUCCAGCUCCUCCCAUAAAGAGGUGGGAGCUGUCCUCGGACCAGCCUUACCUGUGACACUGCACCCUCACGGCCACCCGACUACUUUGCCUCCUUGGAUUUCCUCCAGGGAGAAUGUGACCUAAUUUAUGACAAAUACGUAGAGCUCAGCAACCCGACUCCGAGAAUGGACGUUUCAUUUAUUCAUUUACUCACCAAAUGUUUACUAAGAGCCUACUAUGAGUCAAGCACUAUGUGUCAGAUCCUGAGAAUAAAGCAGUGAGCAACAGAAGAUCCCUGCCCUCCAGUAGCUAGCAUUCUAUGGGGACUCGGACAACAAACCAGAAUAAGUAAAUAAAAUAAAUUACCUGUCGGCGCCACAAAAGCAGUGGGAUGAGGGAGGAAAUGCGGAGUGCCUGAGGGGCGUGGCUGCCAUAUUAAAGAAGAUCACGAGGCAGUAA
Molecule: RNA transcript, 742 nt
Organism: Homo sapiens (human)
Lineage: Eukaryota; Metazoa; Chordata; Mammalia; Primates; Hominidae
Gene: NDUFA7
Gene name: NADH:ubiquinone oxidoreductase subunit A7
Exons: 5
Source: RefSeq, marked reviewed